UACAUCAUUGAACUUCAGAUCCCAACUCCGCAAUCCUGAUGCUGCAAGGUACUGAACUCCUAAGCAGUGAGGAUUUGGAAAGUUUUGCUGGUGAAUUAAUAUGUUAGAUACAAAGCACUGACUACUUACACUAAAAAGCUUAAAA
Long non-coding RNA from Maniola jurtina (meadow brown), 145 nucleotides. RefSeq lists it as uncharacterized. Lineage: Eukaryota; Metazoa; Arthropoda; Insecta; Lepidoptera; Nymphalidae. The transcript has 2 exons. The record is from RefSeq and is a predicted model, not a curated record.